AAUCGAUAAUGGCAAACUCGUCGAAAGGCGGGGACGCAAAGCUUCUGGUCUAAGGGUGUCACACCUAUGACAGCAGGGUCGCCGAA
Molecule: non-coding RNA, 86 nt
Filed under: Burkholderiales bacterium
Lineage: Bacteria; Pseudomonadati; Pseudomonadota; Betaproteobacteria; Burkholderiales
Description: c-di-GMP sequence
Rfam family: c-di-GMP-I riboswitch aptamer
About the family: GEMM was predicted in a large-scale screen for bacterial structured RNA regulatory elements. Genes associated with GEMM are involved in a diverse array of functions, including chemotaxis regulation, signal transduction, secretion and chitin.
Source: RNAcentral